GACAGCAGGUCCGAGGGGUGUCGGGGAGAGCAGGAGCCCGGCUCACCGGUGGGGAGGCCCUUGUAGUAAUAGAUGACGGGAUGGAGGAAGUUUGACUGCCACGCGUCUCCCGUGUGCCCCACGGACCGGUCGUAGAAGAAGACGUCCUUGUCGGGCCCGGAGAAGUCCCUGCCGUACUCCAUGUUGAUGACGAAGAGCCCACGCCCGGCCCUCCUCCCUGUGAUGCUCUCCAGCUGGGCCAGCAUCUGCACGGGGAACUCCUCCAGGUUCUAAGGGGACCGCCUGGCUGCCGUGUUGAGAGACCGUGGAGCAAAGGUGCGAGGCUGCAGCAGGUUCAGGGCACCCUCCCCCCUGCCUGCUCUGCUGUGUGUCACCUGUGCCCUGCCACCUGUCACUCAGCUGAUAAGGAGACAUCAUGGUCCUGGCCCGAGGGAGGCCUUCCACCCUCAGCGCUGCGGUUUACCGCUCAUCCGCUUGGUGCCAAAUGCGACCAGUUACCUUCACGCCUGCCUGCAACCUAAGGGUUGUUAUCCCCAGUCUGCAGAGGAGAGAAAGGCUCAGAGAAGCUACGUGACUUGCCCAAGGUCACACAGGUGGAAAGCGGCAGGGCUGGGAGGCGCACCAGGUCUGUCUGUCGAGCUUGUGGUGUUGAUUUCACUGAUUCUGCCUCCCCGCUCCCAGAAUGGAUCCCCGUGUCCCCUGAAGGUUCGCUUAGGAGGGAACUGCAGGCCACUCCACGCUGGGAACAGGCAGAGAGGAGCUCCGACCAGUGAACGGUGAAGCUGGGCUACUCACUCCUUGAGCAGGGCAACAUCGGCCAGCACGCCGAACAUCUGGUAGAGCCCGGAAGCCUCGUUGACGCGCCGGACGAUGGAGCUUGUCAGCUGUGAGACGGGGUGCUCGGUGGAGGGCCAGGCGACGCUGUGGUGGCGGUGCUCCAGCAGGCGGUGGACGGCACGCACUGAAAUGGCCAGAGGGACGUACGGUCCCUGUCGGCUGCUUGGAACUCCACACACGCUCGUGUGCGUGGCUCCAAGGUGCCUCUGGCGGGGCUCGGUCGGUUAAGGGUCUGACUCUUGAUUUUGGCUCAGGUCACCAUCUCAUGGAGUGAGUUCGAGCCCC
Molecule: long non-coding RNA, 1122 nt
Organism: Suricata suricatta (meerkat)
Lineage: Eukaryota; Metazoa; Chordata; Mammalia; Carnivora; Herpestidae
Exons: 3
Source: RefSeq, a predicted model, not a curated record